Molecule: ribosomal RNA, 253 nt
Filed under: uncultured bacterium
Lineage: Bacteria
Description: partial 16S ribosomal RNA
Rfam family: Bacterial small subunit ribosomal RNA
Source: RNAcentral
GACGUAGGGUGCGAGCGUUGUCCGGAUUUAUUGGGCGUAAAGAGCUCGUAGGCGGCUCGUCGCGUCGACCGUGAAAACCCGCGGCUUAACUCCGGGCCUGCAGUGGGUACGGGCAGACUAGAGUGCGGUAGGGAGACUGGAAUUCCGUGGUGUAGCGGUGAAAUGCGCAGAUAUCAGGAGGAACACCGGAGGCGAAGGCGGGUUGCUGGGCCGACACUGACGCUGAGGCGCGAAAGCCAGGGGAGCAAACGGG